AUCGAACGCUGGCGGCAGGCCUAACACAUGCAAGUCGAGCGGAUGAAGGGAGCUUGCUCCUGGAUUCAGCGGCGGACGGGUGAGUAAUGCCUAGGAAUCUGCCUGGUAGUGGGGGAUAACGUCCGGAAACGGGCGCUAAUACCGCAUACGUCCUGAGGGAGAAAGUGGGGGAUCUUCGGACCUCACGCUAUCAGAUGAGCCUAGGUCGGAUUAGCUAGUUGGUGGGGUAAAGGCCUACCAAGGCGACGAUCCGUAACUGGUCUGAGAGGAUGAUCAGUCACACUGGAACUGAGACACGGUCCAGACUCCUACGGGAGGCAGCAGUGGGGAAUAUUGGACAAUGGGCGAAAGCCUGAUCCAGCCAUGCCGCGUGUGUGAAGAAGGUCUUCGGAUUGUAAAGCACUUUAAGUUGGGAGGAAGGGCAGUAAGUUAAUACCUUGCUGUUUUGACGUUACCAACAGAAUAAGCACCGGCUAACUUCAUG
Molecule: ribosomal RNA, 484 nt
Filed under: uncultured bacterium
Lineage: Bacteria
Description: partial 16S ribosomal RNA
Rfam family: Bacterial small subunit ribosomal RNA
Source: RNAcentral